This 189-nucleotide ribosomal RNA is filed under the name uncultured bacterium. Its description in RNAcentral is "partial 16S ribosomal RNA". It matches the Rfam family "Bacterial small subunit ribosomal RNA", at positions 1306 to 1500 of the family's 1533-position model. The record is from RNAcentral.
UGCAACUCGACUCCAUGAAGCUGGAUUCGCUAGUAAUCGCGCAUCAGCCAUGGCGCGGUGAAUACGUUCCCGGGCCUUGUACACACCGCCCGUCAAGCCAUGGGAGUCGGGAGUGCCUGAAGUUCGUGACCGUCACAGGAGCGACCUAAGGCAAGACCGAUGACUGGGGCUAAGUCGUAACAAGGUAAC